AGCCGGUGAUGAGCUCCCACAUUUCUGACACCUCGUAUGAGUAUUGCACGAGCAAUACCUGAUUUUGCUUGGGUGCUGAGGCUG
Small nucleolar RNA from Ornithorhynchus anatinus (platypus), 84 nucleotides. RefSeq annotates it as small nucleolar RNA SNORD60. Lineage: Eukaryota; Metazoa; Chordata; Mammalia; Monotremata; Ornithorhynchidae. The record is from RefSeq and is a predicted model, not a curated record. The transcript has a single exon.